UACGUAGGUCCCGAGCGUUGUCCGGAUUUAUUGGGUGUAAAGCGAGCGCAGGUGGUUUAUUAAGUCUGGUGAAAAAGGCAGUGGCUCAACCAUUGUAUGCAUUGGAAACUGGUAGACUUGAGUGCAGGAGAGGAGAGUGGAAUUCCAUGUGUAGCGGUGAAAUGCGUAGAUAUAUGGAGGAACACCGGUGGCGAAAGCGGCUCUCUGGCCUGUAACUGACACUGAGGCUCGAAAGCGUGGGGAGCAAACAGG
Molecule: ribosomal RNA, 252 nt
Filed under: uncultured bacterium
Lineage: Bacteria
Description: partial 16S ribosomal RNA
Rfam family: Bacterial small subunit ribosomal RNA
Source: RNAcentral